GAUUAGAGUUUGAUCCUGGCUCAGAACGAACGCUGGCGGCGUGGAUAAGACAUGCAAGUCGAACGAUCACUAUUGGGUAGCAAUAUUCGGUAGUGGGAGUGGCGCAAGGGUGCGUAACACGUGGGCAAUUUGCCAUGAAGUCUGGAAUAACUUGCUGAAAGGCGAGCUAAUACCGGAUGUGAUUACUGGAAGGCAUCUUCUGGUACUUAAAGUCGGGGACCGCAAGGCCUGACACUUCUUGAUAAGCCCGCGGCCUAUCAGCUAGUUGGUGAGGUAACGGCUCACCAAGGCUAAGACGGGUAGCUGGUCUGAGAGGACGACCAGCCACACUGGAACUGAGACACGGUCCAGACACCUACGGGUGGCAGCAGUCGAGAAUUUUUCUCAAUGGGGGAAACCCUGAAGGAGCGACGCCGCGUGGGGGAUGAAUGGCUUCGGCCCGUAAACCCCUGUCAUUUGCGAUCAAACCUUACGACUUAACACGUCGUAAGCUGAUAGAGCGAAGGAAGA
This 510-nucleotide ribosomal RNA is filed under the name uncultured bacterium. Its description in RNAcentral is "bacterial SSU rRNA". It matches the Rfam family "Bacterial small subunit ribosomal RNA", at positions 1 to 488 of the family's 1533-position model. The record is from RNAcentral.